Long non-coding RNA from Homo sapiens (human), 568 nucleotides. Ensembl annotates it as mir-99a-let-7c cluster host gene. Its record names the gene MIR99AHG. The record is from Ensembl. NCBI's taxonomy places the organism in Eukaryota, Metazoa, Chordata, Mammalia, Primates, Hominidae.
AGAACAAGUAGAAUGGAAAGAAAUUAGGAAUGGGAGUAGUGCAGAGCAGCUUGAACUAAUGCACUGGGAAUGGAAAUGAGAGAACAGGCAAAACAUUUGAGAAAGUCGAUUUGAAAAGGCAGAUUGUUUAUGUUGAUCUUCAGGAAUUUUACUGGGAUAAUUAUCCAAAUAAAUUGCAAGCAUUCUAUCCAAAUGGAGCUCUUUCUGAGAUGAAGAGAAUUCUCAAUGUCAAGAUUUGAACAAGAAGAGAAUGGAAUACACAAUAUGGACAUCCAUAAAAAUUCAUCAGAGAGCAUUUUACUACUGAGCUGCAAAGGUGUCUGAUGAUUUGUGAGCCUCAAGUGACUACUCUGUGGAAUCAUCUGUCCUUGCCUUUGAAUUAGCUUUCCCUAGGCCAUGAGUCAACAUUAGUAGUUUAUACAUCCAAAUUGAUGACAAGAGCACCUCAAAGGCAGCAGCCUCAAGGAGCAGCCAUGGCCCCAGACUUGUCGCACGGAUGCAGAAAACUUAAUGGAGGAGGCUGAGGUCAGAAUGGGAAGAGUUUUUAAAAAAUAAAAAGGGGAGCUAA